CGUAAUGAUGGCCAGGCUGUCUCCACCCGAGACUCAGUGAAAUUGAACUCGCUGUGAAGAUGCAGUGUACCCGCGGCAAGACGGAAAGACCCCGUGAACCUUUACUAUAGCUUGACACUGAACAUUGAGCCUUGAUGUGUAGGAUAGGUGGGAGGCUUAGAAGUGUGGACGCCAGUCUGCAUGGAGCCGACCUUGAAAUACCACCCUUUAAUGUUUGAUGUUCUAACGUUGACCCGUAAUCCGGGUUGCGGACAGUGUCUGGUGGGUAGUUUGACUGGGGCGGUCUCCUCCUAAAGAGUAACGGAGGAGCACGAAGGUUGGCUAAUCCUGGUCGGACAUCAGGAGGUUAGUGCAAUGGCAUAAGCCAGCUUGACUGCGAGCGUGACGGCGCGAGCAGGUGCGAAAGC
This 407-nucleotide ribosomal RNA is filed under the name Escherichia coli. RNAcentral describes it as "partial 23S ribosomal RNA". It matches the Rfam family "Bacterial large subunit ribosomal RNA", at positions 2000 to 2406 of the family's 2925-position model. The record is from RNAcentral. Lineage: Bacteria; Pseudomonadati; Pseudomonadota; Gammaproteobacteria; Enterobacterales; Enterobacteriaceae.